AAGAUCUUCGGUGCCGGCAUAUGCCGGGUAAAAGGGAAACAGGUCAGAAUCCUGUACGAUCCCGUCACUGUAUUUCGGGGAGCGCGUCUUUUCGACAGAGCAAAGGUCUGAUAUGUCACUGGCCGGUUCCGGCCGGGAAGGCAGCGGGCGCGUAAUGAUCCAUAAGUCAGG
This 171-nucleotide non-coding RNA is filed under the name bovine gut metagenome. The record is from RNAcentral.